GAACCGAUUCUAUGUUUCUCCGGCUAUGCGAAAGCAGCAGCAGCAGCAGGGGUCGUCGAUUUCCAAGAAUUGUACGGUGGAGAGCGAGAAGAGAACGGAUUCCGAUCAAUGUGGCUCAGUGUCUUCGUCGUCGUUCACGUCAAAUUGUUGUUGUUCGGUUUCGGGCCGGGUUGAGGGCGAGUGUAAUUCCACGAAUUUAGAUCGGUUCUUGAAGUACACUACUCCUGUGGUUCCUG
Molecule: unclassified non-coding RNA, 236 nt
Filed under: Hevea brasiliensis (rubber tree)
Lineage: Eukaryota; Viridiplantae; Streptophyta; Magnoliopsida; Malpighiales; Euphorbiaceae
Source: RNAcentral